This 1707-nucleotide long non-coding RNA is filed under the name Xyrichtys novacula (pearly razorfish). Lineage: Eukaryota; Metazoa; Chordata; Actinopteri; Labriformes; Labridae. The record is from RNAcentral.
UCGCUAGGUUUGCAACUACGUGUCCCAGACUGCAUCCCUGCUGAGAGUCCCUCCCUCCCUUCUCAUAUUGCAGGAAGAACAUAAGUUCCCGCCCCUUGUCAAUCAGUCACCAUAUAAUUUUGGAUUGGUUGUUGUGGUGAAGUUUUCCACCAAUAGGAGAGAUGUUGUGGUGUGUUUUUUUUUUCCUUUGGCAAGCCUUUUCCGCCUGUAAGACCUGUCGCUAAUGUCUGCAUGCUAUGUUUUCCUGUCUCAUACAGCGCGAUCGAGCGCCGAACGUGAUCAAAAUAAGCAGAAAAAAAGUAUCGCGGACAUAAUUUAUCAUAACUCUGGUUUUAUUUGGCCUAUCAACACAAUUUAAAAACUGGUAUAUAGGUUGACGUCCUCACUUUUGAGAUAAAUUGAAACGGAGAGUCAACGAGGCUCCGUCUUGCAGCUACAUCCGGUUAAAUAUGUCAUGUGACUUGAACGCACACACACACACACACACACAGACACACACACGCACACACACACACUCAGAGUCUGGUUUGUAGCACCUGCAAAAACAUGCUAUUUACAUAUUUGACAAGAAUGCAGAGGCUCCUUUUGCCCCUGAAAAAAAUCAAAUUUCAAACACAACUUGACUGGUCAUUUCUCCAAAAGACAACCAUGAAGCUCCAUCCAAACCUGAAGCAGGCAGUUGGUGCAUGUGUACAGUAACCUGAGGGGAGUGAGGUGACUGCUUCUGAGGAGAACAUGAGCAGUGAAGAUUUACCUUAGAGCUAGAACAGAGACGUGCACAUGAUUAUACAGGGGCAGGGGCUCAAGUUUUUUCCAGUCGUUUAUACAAUUUGGAAAUUAAUGUGAAAUUAAAAAACAAAGUAUUAAUAGAAAGGUAAUGACUGUCCUGUGUAGGUGACAGUGAUAUCCAAUAGGCUAGGCACUCACGAGGCUGGCUGUGGCAAGUGUAAGUGAAAGCAACACGCACUGGCAGGAAGAACAGCAAACGCCGAUGAAGGAAAAGGGUCUUUGCAGUGAUGGGCGUUACCAAAGAGGGCGAUGGCCAGAGGACACAAAUGGGACGGGGAGGCAGCGCGUUGGGGGGGGGGCACGCGACACAGCUCGGGCCCGCCAGUGCCCCAACGGGGUCCUAGUUUGUUAUUAUUAUUAUUUUUCCUCCGCUUUAAACUGGAAAAUGGCCCACUUCCCACUGGCGAAAACUCAUGAAAUUUGGCAGGACGACCGGGCCUGGUGAAAAAUUUGAUAUUCUGAAGUCGCCCAAACAAUAAAAUGCAAAAUGGCUCCAUAGCGCCCCCUAAGGUGAAAAUUCACACUAUUGACUGUCACGCCUGUACGCUUUGUCAAAAUGACACAAAAAUUGACACACACAUGUAUCUCAAUAAGAUCUACAAAAAAGUCAGUGCGGGCGUAUCUGUCAAAUGUACGGUUAAAGGAUUAUUGCGCAUUUUUUGCCGAUCCGCACACAUUGGAAUUUCGCUAACUCCUCCGAAGGCUUUCGUUCCACCGGCACCACAUUUGCUCAGGCCAAUCUACACCCCAUGGCCAUUAAAAGUUGUACAAAUCAUGACGCUGCACCCCACGGUUUACGUUCUAGGGGGCGCCAAAGAUAACCCAAAAAUCCACAUUCUUAAAAGUCUAAUAACUUUUUAUUUUUGUCCUCACUGGCCUCCAAGUUUUCUAGGAUGAUGCAAUGUCCAGCCAUCAACA